Molecule: ribosomal RNA, 439 nt
Filed under: uncultured bacterium
Lineage: Bacteria
Description: partial 16S ribosomal RNA
Rfam family: Bacterial small subunit ribosomal RNA
Source: RNAcentral
CUACGGGCCGCUGCAGUGAGGAAUAUUGCACAAUGGGGGGAACCCUGAUGCAGCAACGCCGCGUGGAGGAUGACGCAUUUCGGUGUGUAAACUCCUUUUAUAUGUCAAGAAAAUGACGGUAGCAUAUGAAUAAGCACCGGCUAACUCCGUGCCAGCAGCCGCGGUAAUACGGAGGGUGCAAGCGUUACUCGGAAUCACUGGGCGUAAAGGACGCGUAGGCGGGUUGGAAAGUCAGGUGUGAAAUCCUACAGCUUAACUGUAGAACUGCACUUGAAACUUCUAAUCUAGAGUAUGGGAGGGGGAGAUGGAAUUAGUGGUGUAGGGGUAAAAUCCGUAGAUAUCACUAGGAAUACCUAAAGCGAAGGCGAUCUCCUGGAAAAAUACGGACGCUAAGGCGUGAAAGCGUGGGGAGCAAACAGGAUUAGAUACCCUUGUAGUC